CUCAUUUACUUUGUUUCACCAAAAUUGCAGCAUUUCCUCAAGUGGGCGCCAGAGGAACUUGAGAACCCCAGCCUUUGUGCACGGCUGUGCAACCUGGACUUUGUCGAGACAGGAGUGCAUUACCAUGACAUUUAAGGAGGAGAACAAGCUGCUCUGAAUUGUGUCAAUCUCACUUGUGAUCUAUUUUUGAACAAUGUACUAGAAAGAUAUUCCCGUUCACACAGAACUAGUGAUUUACCCUCUGGUGGAUUCUACCCCUCCAGCUACUUGGCGAUAAAUAAAGCCAGAGUGGAGAGAGAGUGUAAAUAAAAAUUAACUGUAC
This 322-nucleotide long non-coding RNA is filed under the name Homo sapiens (human). Its description in RNAcentral is "HSALNT0158007". The record is from RNAcentral. Lineage: Eukaryota; Metazoa; Chordata; Mammalia; Primates; Hominidae.